GAUGAACGCUGGCGGCGUGCUUAACACAUGCAAGUCGAACGGAAAGGCCCAAGCUUGCUUGGGUACUCGAGUGGCGAACGGGUGAGUAACACGUGGGUGAUCUGCCCUGCACUUCGGGAUAAGCCUGGGAAACUGGGUCUAAUACCGGAUAGGACGAUGGUUUGGAUGCCAUUGUGGAAAGUUUUUUCGGUGUGGGAUGAGCUCGCGGCCUAUCAGCUUGUUGGUGGGGUAAUGGCCUACCAAGGCGUCGACGGGUAGCCGGCCUGAGAGGGUGUACGGCCACAUUGGGACUGAGAUACGGCCCAGACUCCUACGGGAGGCAGCAGUGGGGAAUAUUGCACAAUGGGCGCAAGCCUGAUGCAGCGACGCCGCGUGGGGGAUGACGGCCUUCGGGUUGUAAACUCCUUUCGCUAGGGACGAAGCGUUUUUGUGACGGUACCCGGAGAAGAAGCACCGGCUAACUACGUG
RNAcentral lists this ribosomal RNA (468 nucleotides) under uncultured bacterium. RNAcentral describes it as "partial 16S ribosomal RNA". It matches the Rfam family "Bacterial small subunit ribosomal RNA", at positions 28 to 507 of the family's 1533-position model. The record is from RNAcentral.